Molecule: non-coding RNA, 68 nt
Filed under: Flavobacterium collinsii
Lineage: Bacteria; Pseudomonadati; Bacteroidota; Flavobacteriia; Flavobacteriales; Flavobacteriaceae
Description: DUF805
Rfam family: DUF805 RNA
Source: RNAcentral
UAAAAGUGGAGCAGAACCCACUAAAAAAAACGAGGCGGUCUCUGAAAAGCCAUAAGAGUAAGAAAAAU